GGUAUUUGCGGCGUGAUUCUUGAAGACUGGGACUCAGUCAUUUGGAAACGAUUGGCUGGGGUCUCAUGCCUUGCUAGGGUUUUAAACCCUCGCCUCGUUUUCGGAGGGUUCUCCGCACGGCGGAGCGAUGCCGUCUAUGGCAAUCUUUUCUCGGCACAGGCCGAGUGUGAGGGAGGGUUUCGUUUGGCUCGGUGCGUUUGUGCACUGGGCAAUUCGGUUUUGUGUGUGGGCAUUCUCAAAGAGGGUUGAUGUCAAUUUUGGGAUAUUGGUCUUCGGUAGAACGGUUGAACGAUCUGAGGCAGAGGCGACUGGGAUCUAAGGCAAGUUUGAGGAUUUUGAAGGAGGAAAUUGUGAGUUUGUGUUCUCUUUGUGCGAUGAACGAUGAAGGUGGUGGCAAAUGCGCGUCGAUGUUAGUGGCAAAUGUGCGUCGAUUUUCCCUCCUAAUCACCUGUCCGCCACUUUCAUUCCUUCCACUCUCUCUUCUAGAAUGUCCUAAGCAAGAGACAGGGGGUGUACAUGUAUUUGAUUCGGUCACAACCGAAGGCAGCACUAAGAAGGUGAAGGGGACAGUGCGCGUCUAUUUGAAGUGCCAUCUGUGACCCAGUUCAUGUUGUUCUUGGUUGGCGGUGAGGGUCAUCAAGGGAGGCGGAGGACAAAUGAGAAUGAGAUCGACAUCCACUCUGACCCCUUCAGGAUUUCUCCAUUAAAUUAACCUUUGGAAGAAGAAUUUGCGAUGGGGGAAAGGAUUUGGGAGGAGUGAAGAAUGCGCUCCUUGUGACAUUGUUGGUGAUAUUAGCUAUGAAGAAUUGCAGGCAGCGGCAUAUGAGGAUGCUAAGCAUGGGAUGACCUUCCAAUCAAUUGUUUUCCCUGUUAAAACAGAGCUAUUGAGGCCCCAAGAGAAAAUGGAAAGUCCCAUAACUGAUUUGGUUAAAAAGCCACUGGGUAAUUCAAGAAGGAAUAUUGAUGUCAAGCAUCUCUUGAAGGAUUGCAAGUUGCUUGUUAUGGAUCACACCUUCAACUUCAAGUGCUUGAAGUGCUUCAAAUUAGGUUGUAUCAUCUCCUUCAAUUUUUCUUUCCCAAAAUAUUGCUAGUUGAUUUUUGUGAUUGGGAAUUGUCUGGGGGGGUGUAAUCCAGUAGAAAAAAAAAUCAUCCAUUGCAUUUAGGUUUUGUCAUUUUGAAGCUUUCUUUCCCUUAGGUGUUGCUUUCAUUUAGGUUGAUAAGUCUAUUUGCAUUGAGGGUAAUGUAGCAUUUAAGUGUGGGGGGAAGUGUGUUUUAGGUCAUUUGGCCAAAAUUUUUAAAAAAAUUUAAAAAACAGUUGUUUUGAUAUAAAAAUUCUUAGUUUGAUGAGAUGCCAAUGAGAUUUGAAGUGUUAGACUUGGCUGUUUCAAGUGUAGCUAGGAUAGGAUAGAAUGUUCUUACUUGGUUUGCUUGAG
RNA transcript from Prosopis cineraria, 1433 nucleotides. RefSeq lists it as uncharacterized. The transcript is spliced from 5 exons. Lineage: Eukaryota; Viridiplantae; Streptophyta; Magnoliopsida; Fabales; Fabaceae. The record is from RefSeq and is a predicted model, not a curated record.